AAAAAAAAAAAAUCCAUAUAACUAAAUGCUUAAUUGUUGUUCUACUCCUAUUGCCUCUACCCUAAUCAACUAUACCAUUCAAUCUAGAAUGUGUUUAUUGUUAAAAAUGUAACUUAGUCAUAUAUCUCUACCUCAAGCACUACCAAACAUAUUGUGAAUUCAUUCAAGAUUCCAAGUUGGACAAAAAAAUAUGUAUUUAUUCCACUUGGCAUGCAGUUGGAUACCAGAUGUUUAACACAAAACGAAGAAAAGGAAGAAGGAAAAGAAAGAAAAAA
Molecule: unclassified non-coding RNA, 275 nt
Filed under: Hevea brasiliensis (rubber tree)
Lineage: Eukaryota; Viridiplantae; Streptophyta; Magnoliopsida; Malpighiales; Euphorbiaceae
Source: RNAcentral